Molecule: transfer RNA, 86 nt
Filed under: Spirochaetia bacterium
Lineage: Bacteria; Pseudomonadati; Spirochaetota; Spirochaetia
Description: tRNA-Ser
Rfam family: tRNA
About the family: Transfer RNA (tRNA) molecules are approximately 80 nucleotides in length.
Source: RNAcentral
GGAGCGAUGUCCGAGCGGUUGAAGGAGGCGGUCUUGAAAACCGUUGUGCCGCAAGGCACCGGGGGUUCGAAUCCCCCUUGCUCCGC